This 253-nucleotide ribosomal RNA is filed under the name uncultured bacterium. RNAcentral's name for it is "partial 16S ribosomal RNA". It matches the Rfam family "Bacterial small subunit ribosomal RNA", at positions 524 to 776 of the family's 1533-position model. The record is from RNAcentral.
UACGUAGGGUGCAAGCGUUAAUCGGAAUUACUGGGCGUAAAGCGCGCGCAGGCGGUUCGUCGUGUCCGAUGUGAAAGCCCCGGGCUCAACCUGGGAAUGGCAUUGGAAACUGGCGGGCUUGAGUGUGGCAGAGGGGGGUGGAAUUCCGCGUGUAGCAGUGAAAUGCGUAGAGAUGCGGAGGAACACCGAUGGCGAAGGCAGCUCGCUGGGACGUUACUGACGCUGAGACGCGAAAGCGUGGGGAGCAAACAGG